Molecule: ribosomal RNA, 572 nt
Filed under: Bacillus inaquosorum
Lineage: Bacteria; Bacillati; Bacillota; Bacilli; Caryophanales; Bacillaceae
Description: bacterial SSU rRNA
Rfam family: Bacterial small subunit ribosomal RNA
Source: RNAcentral
GCGGACAGAUGGGAGCUUGCUCCCUGAUGUUAGCGGCGGACGGGUGAGUAACACGUGGGUAACCUGCCUGUAAGACUGGGAUAACUCCGGGAAACCGGGGCUAAUACCGGAUGCUUGUUUGAACCGCAUGGUUCAAACAUAAAAGGUGGCUUCGGCUACCACUUACAGAUGGACCCGCGGCGCAUUAGCUAGUUGGUGAGGUAACGGCUCACCAAGGCAACGAUGCGUAGCCGACCUGAGAGGGUGAUCGGCCACACUGGGACUGAGACACGGCCCAGACUCCUACGGGAGGCAGCAGUAGGGAAUCUUCCGCAAUGGACGAAAGUCUGACGGAGCAACGCCGCGUGAGUGAUGAAGGUUUUCGGAUCGUAAAGCUCUGUUGUUAGGGAAGAACAAGUACCGUUCGAAUAGGGCGGUACCUUGACGGUACCUAACCAGAAAGCCACGGCUAACUACGUGCCAGCAGCCGCGGUAAUACGUAGGUGGCAAGCGUUGUCCGGAAUUAUUGGGCGUAAAGGGCUCGCAGGCGGUUUCUUAAGUCUGAUGUGAAAGCCCCCGGCUCAACCGGGGAG